CCGAGUUGUUGAUCUCGGCGAUAACGGCUGUUGCGGUCCAGUGGCGACGAGCGAUGACGUACGGCGCACGAAGGAAAGGCGCCUGUGCACAGCAGCGCAUGCGCCAACAGUUCAGAGUUGCGCUUAAAUUUUGCUAUAAGCGGCCGCCGAGAGACCCGCCCUUCAUUUUGCUUUUCACGCCACAGCCGCCCGUGUCAGCUAAACCGCUGCAUCGUAUCGUAUGUGCUCUGGCAGCGAUUGUCGACCACAUCACCGACCCCGAAACAGCCAUGGGUUCCGGCGCUGGCUUCUGCUCUAUGGCGUGCUUCGAAGCUUUAAGUCGCGGCUGCACCACUUACGGCCUGGACUUCUGCAGUUGCGGUUACGGGACUGUUUUGCUUCGGAAUUCUCGUACGGCCCAUUGGAGCUCCCGGAAUACGUAUGCGACGCGCGGUGGCCAUUGCAUCCUUUCGCACGCACGAGCUGUCGCGCCUGACGCCAACGACGCCGUUGCUGCCGACAAGUCUGAAGCCUGGCCUGUCGCGGUCUUUUGUGCGUGUGUUCCCUCGAACGAACUCACCCUGCCAUUUAACCGAGGGAGAACGAGGCAACUGUCGUCGGCACGUGCUUCAACUACCUUGUGAGGUGCAGCCCGUGCAACCAAGUGACCGUGGCACUGCCCUGAGGGACAACGCUGCAACUGUCGCCACAGCGUAGCUUCGGCAUCUAACCUCCGAGGUGGACGUGUUUAGCUUGCAAAGGCGGCGCGGCCAUUAACUUCAAAACUGAUUAACUGAUUAACUUCAAACUCAUCAAAACUGAUUGAUGACAUUGGCAAAUUAUGUGCAGUUAACUGUGGUGCUUAAUUAGGCACGAGCUUCCUUGGACGGCCGCAGCCACAUCGGGUCGUCGCCGUGACGGAAGCGGAGAGGACGGGGUGGGGCGUUUCUAGCUUCAGGCUUAGCUAACACUAGGCAGGAAUCUGACGCUGCGCAGGCCACAGCUGGCAGGGGUCCUCUCUCUGCGACACGGCCGUGCUAUCGCUUCCCUGCCACAAUUUCGCGCCCACGCGCGCGAAAUGUGGAAUCGCGGAAGUCGGUGGCAUCCGGAAUUAGUGUCUGGCUAACCAGUGGCGUAUUACUUCCAGUUCAUCUAGCUACGCUGAAGCACGGACGUUUUCUUUGGUCCGCGACGCGUUGCGGCCGAAUUACGUGGCCACUUUUUCUUUUCCACUGCCACGCUGUGUUUUUGUCGCGCGACGCGCGCAGCAUGUUUGACGUGUUCAUCUUCCACGGCUCGUGAGAUGACGCUUAUCAUGGUGAGUACCUACUUUCUGGUUAUAUUCCUAAUUUGAAAAGCUGCUUUUUUUUUUUUUAGUUUCAGGUACGCACCUCAGGUCUCCGCUUCCCCUCGUCCCGCCGCUGACCGUCUGUAUACUUCUGCUCCAGCCACACAGGUACUGGUUUCCUGGCCAAUGCAGAACCCUGCAUGCAGUACGUCAACUGCUCUCGGUCUGCAAUCCUUCUCUUGACAUCCUUGUCUUGAUUUGUUCCGCCUGCGUAGUCGGCCAUCACGCCCAGUGCUCACCGUAGUGUGGCAAGCCUUGCUCACGAGACGUACAGGUCGUCACAUUGCUACGCAUGCUGACGUUGAGCUGCAGGAAAAGUCCCUCUCUGCCUGCUCCGCGCUGCCUCGAUGACUCGUCACAACUACGGAGUCGUGACGCGAACACCGAUCACGACAUCCAUGUGGGAGUUCUUUCCGCCCGGUAGCUGUGUCAUGGCCGUUCGAUAAAGACUCGUAUUGAGGGUCGACCCCUUACUGUUUGACGACCGGACCAAAACAAUUCCAGGUAACAUGCUGGCUCAUCUGUGGUACACUGCUGUCAAUCUGGAGGUUGGUGCACGUUAACUCGCAUCCUGUGCUCUCGUAAUGAUACGCUGAUGCUGGUUCGCAUUGUGAAGUUGCGCGCGCGUAUGUGUUCGUGUGAGCAUGCGUAUGUAUGUAUGCGUGUGUUGGUGCAUGCAUGGUGUCUAUUUAUUGCACGCGCGUGCCACUUCGAUAACUUCAUCUGGUUGUUGGCAUAUUUUUAGCUGGUUGCGUUCUAACUUCUUCCAUGAAAUUAAUGGCGGCUGGCCGCGUCUCAUCUGUAAAUUCUUCAGAAAGCUCGUUGAUGGUUCCGCAAUGAUGGUCGCCAAUCUUUUCCGAAAUCAUUCGAACUUUGGCUCUGGGCGGUCUCCUUAAUUGAAAGGCGUCCAGUGGCCCUUGCCUCGUCAACUUUUCUUAUCCAAGCAGUCUCUGUUCGUACAUUUUCUGUCCAUAUCUUCCUUGUUUAUGAACUUGCUUCGCAUUAGCCAUGAUGAAUACAUUGAUA
Molecule: RNA transcript, 2353 nt
Organism: Dermacentor albipictus
Lineage: Eukaryota; Metazoa; Arthropoda; Arachnida; Ixodida; Ixodidae
Gene name: connectin-like
Source: RefSeq, a predicted model, not a curated record